UACGUAGGGUGCAAGCGUUGUCCGGAAUUAUUGGGCGUAAAGAGCUCGUAGGCGGUCUGUCGCGUCGGCUGUGAAAUCCCGAGGCUCAACCUCGGGUCUGCAGUCGAUACGGGCAAACUAGAGUAUUGCAGGGGAGACUGGAAUUCCUGGUGUAGCGGUGAAAUGCGCAGAUAUCAGGCGGAACACCGGUGGCGAAGGCGGGUCUCUGGGCAAUAACUGACGCUGAGGAGCGAAAGCGUGGGGAGCGAACAGG
Molecule: ribosomal RNA, 253 nt
Filed under: uncultured bacterium
Lineage: Bacteria
Description: partial 16S ribosomal RNA
Rfam family: Bacterial small subunit ribosomal RNA
Source: RNAcentral